CAGCAGCCGCGGUAAUACGAAGGGUGCAAGCGUUAAUCGGAAUUACUGGGCGUAAAGCGUGCGUAGGCGGUGAGUUAAGUCUGCUGUGAAAUCCCCGGACUCAACCUGGGAAUGGCAAUGGAUACUGGCAAGCUAGAGUGUGUCAGAGGAUGGUGGAAUUCCCGGUGUAGCGGUGAAAUGCGUAGAGAUCGGGAGGAACAUCAGUGGCGAAGGCGGCCAUCUGGGACAACACUGACGCUGAGGCACGAAAGCGUGGGGAGCAAACAGGAUUAGAUACCCGGGUAGUCCCUGUCUCUUAUAC
This 301-nucleotide ribosomal RNA is filed under the name uncultured bacterium. RNAcentral's name for it is "partial 16S ribosomal RNA". It matches the Rfam family "Bacterial small subunit ribosomal RNA", at positions 509 to 807 of the family's 1533-position model. The record is from RNAcentral.